UGAGAAACCACGGUGCUGGGUAACUU
RNAcentral lists this unclassified non-coding RNA (26 nucleotides) under Mus musculus (house mouse). RNAcentral's name for it is "oocyte_clustered_small_RNA5222". The record is from RNAcentral. Lineage: Eukaryota; Metazoa; Chordata; Mammalia; Rodentia; Muridae.